This 460-nucleotide unclassified non-coding RNA is filed under the name uncultured Ascomycota. RNAcentral's name for it is "sequence contains ITS2". The stretch from base 1 to 154 matches the Rfam family "5.8S ribosomal RNA". The record is from RNAcentral. Lineage: Eukaryota; Fungi; Ascomycota.
AACUUUCAACAACGGAUCACUUGGUUCUCGCAACGAUGAAGAACGCAGCGAAAUGCGAUAAGUAGUGUGAAUUGCAGAAUUCCGUGAAUCAUCGAAUCUUUGAACGCACAUUGCGCUUUUCGGAACCCCGGAGAGCAUGCCUGUAUGAGAAUCAUCCCACACCCCACACUCACCAGUGAGUGGAGUUGAGCCGCUAUCCGUCGUCUGACUUUGUCGGAUGAGGGAUUGGCUUGAAAAAGGAUGUUGGUUUGAGGCCUCCCGGUCCUCGAGCUCUUGUUGCGAGACAAAUUUGUUUUGAGCGCGCAAGUAUGGAGCCCGAGGAGUCGCAGGACUCGCGAUACCAACGUUGAACCAGCGUUCAACGGCACAGAGAGGCGGACUUUGUUCCCCUCUCUCAGUCUUUGAUCUCAUAUCAGGUAGGAGGACCCGCUGAACUUAAGCAUAUCAAUAAGCGGAGGCU